RNAcentral lists this long non-coding RNA (239 nucleotides) under Elaeis guineensis (African oil palm). RNAcentral describes it as "long non-coding RNA (EGUI_LNC065168)". Lineage: Eukaryota; Viridiplantae; Streptophyta; Magnoliopsida; Arecales; Arecaceae. The record is from RNAcentral.
CAAAAGAGACCUCCCAGAUACAUUCUCCUCUAAGCUCUAAGCACUAUCUCUAAACUCUGCUAAAAUCCCAUUUGAGUGCUCCAUUUCUGUUGAAGCAGAGUACUGACUUGAGUAUCGGAGGGUCUUGCCGGAGCACCCCCAACUCCAGUUUAGACUUUCCUUGUAGAUAUCAGCGGCGGCCAUGAUCUUUUUGACUCCAGCUUCUCCGACAUCGGCAAAAUUCUGCACCAACAACAGUC